This 465-nucleotide ribosomal RNA is filed under the name uncultured bacterium. RNAcentral describes it as "partial 16S ribosomal RNA". It matches the Rfam family "Bacterial small subunit ribosomal RNA", at positions 338 to 795 of the family's 1533-position model. The record is from RNAcentral.
CCUACGGGAGGCUGCAGUAGGGAAUCUUCCACAAUGGGCGAAAGCCUGAUGGAGCAACGCCGCGUGGGUGCAGAAGGUCUUCGGAUCGUAACCCCCUGUUGUUAGAGCAGCAAGUGCGUUAGAGUAACUGUUCACGUUUCGACGGUAUCUAACCAGCAAGCCACGGCUAACUACGUGCCAGCAGCCGCGGUAAUACGUAGGUGGCAAGCGUGAUCCUGAUUUAUUGGGCGUAAAGGGGACGCAGGCGGUCUUUUAAGUCUGAUGUGAAAGCCUUCGGCUUAACCGGAGUAGUGCAUUGGAAACUGGGAGACGUGAGUGCAGAAGAGGAGAGUGGAACUCCAUGUGUAGCGGUGAAAUGCGUAGAUAUAUGGAAGAACACCAGUGGCGAAAGCGGCUCUCUGGUCUGUAACUGACGCGGAGGUUCGAAAGCGGGGGUAGCAAACAGGAGUAGAUACCCUUGUAGUC